AUGGGCACAGCACACACGGCCCCCAGCAUCACCUAUGCAGCCCCUUCCUUUGGGGAGGAGUAUAAUUUGAUUUGGCCCUGGGAGCCUAACACAAUGCAUUCUGAAGAGUGGUCUGAACCAGCCUCAAAGCAGACGCCCGGUGAGGUUUCACCCAGCAGAAUAAUGGAAAAAGGAGUGUGUGAAUGGAGAGACCCAGAAGAGCAGAUGGGCAAUGCGAGCUGCCCAGCUUCCCAAGCAGAUUCCAGACGCUUCUGGGAUUCCUCGCACCAGCAGAAGCAGCCUUGCUGGGUGCAUGACUGGGGAAGCACGGAGCAGCACUUUGCGUCUGACCGGCUGGUGCCAGCAGCUGCCAGACUCUCCGCAACGCUCAUGAAUUGUUUUGCUCCUUCCCCUUCUUUCAAACCACUAUUACCAGCCCUGUUCUUAAUCAUCUCAGGUCAAACCGAGCUGCAGCCUGUGGUUUGGCUGCCUGUUUGUUUAACUCUGUGUGGCUGGGAAGGGGUCACUGUCGCUCGCAGGCUUGGGCAGAGCUCCUCAGCCCUGCAGGCUCUGGUCUGACAGCCAGCCAGCUCACUGCUGCCUUCGCUGCUGCUGAGGAGCCACGGCAGCUCCUGCAGCCCUGCGACGGGCCCGUGCACCCAGCACCUCCCCUGCCUGGGCGCGUGGCUUCUGGCAGCGUAACGAUGCCAAGAUGCCACUGGUGCACGCAGUGCCACCCAGCUCAAGGGAAGAUCCUGCGUAAACCACAAAGUUGCAUAUUAUCAGAGCUGGUCGCAUCUUACCAGAGCUGGAUGCAUGUUAUUUCAGAGUUCGAUGUCUCGGUGGAAGCGGCCAGCUGGCUCUUCCACCCAAAGGCACAGAAAACCCCCCUGAAGAGCAAUUGAGGGGUUCUACAGCUUUGACUCCAGACUCACCACUGUUUGCCCUGAGCCUCAGGAACAAGUAACUUUUAAGGAAGAAAAAGCAAAAUCCUCACCAGUUCCUACACCAUUCUGCACAUUUAAGAGACCUGCCAUGUAGCAGCAGCCCCAAAGGAGGUGAUUUGUACCCAACAGGUCCCAUCACCUACAGCAGCUUCCAAGGACACAUCUGUGAGCACUACCCUCACCUCUGCCAGUGCCCAACCCUUCUCCAGCCCCAAGGGUGCACCCAGCACGAGGGUCCCUCCCCAAACCUCAUCUGGAGAGCUGGGACACACAGCCGUGCUCUCAGAUGCUUCUUCCCAGAAAGAGGGAACAAGGAAGCCACAGCCCCCUCCUGCUUACGCUGCUUUUAUCACCUGCAACUGGGUCCUUUCAGCUGGUCCCCACUGUACGUGGGUAACCCCUUACACACCAGCUCAGGCCCAGGCCAGCCCUGCCCCACAGGGGCAGCAGGGGCCCGGUGCAGCAGGGCGGCGGCACGGCGCCGAGCUGCAGCCCACGCAGAGCCCCGGUCCCCGUGCCCGCAGCAGAAGGCGAGGCGGCUCCGGGGCACGUGCGGGCAGAGGCAAACCCGCUGCUAACGGGAGCAACGGGGCAGCACCGCGCUGAGGUCUGGGAGCCAGGCAGGGCUCCGC
Molecule: long non-coding RNA, 1558 nt
Filed under: Anser brachyrhynchus (Pink-footed goose)
Lineage: Eukaryota; Metazoa; Chordata; Aves; Anseriformes; Anatidae
Description: lncRNA (ENSABRG00000022270.1)
Source: RNAcentral